UGCCAGUUAUCCAGGCAGUGACUUUCAGUACAGCUACAGUCACCUCUGGACACCUGCAGAGACUUUAAAAAUUUCCAGAAGGUCAGGAAUUUUUGGAGACCUUUCUCAUGGCUACGUUGCCUGCAAAGGUGAAUUAAUAAGCUUCUGAACUGACUUAGAAAAUGUUUCAGAGACUCUGGUGGGCAGAUAGACCCUCUCCUGCCACUCCGGAUAGAUGUAUCUGCGUCACACACACCUGAUUUAACAACAUCUUAUUAUCUCAGAGUGUCACUCUGUCGCCCAGGCUAGAGUGCAAUGGCGCGAUCUCGGCUCACUGCAACCUCUGCCUCCAGGG
Molecule: non-coding RNA, 334 nt
Filed under: Pongo abelii (Sumatran orangutan)
Lineage: Eukaryota; Metazoa; Chordata; Mammalia; Primates; Hominidae
Source: RNAcentral